AGCGUAGGCUGCGUAGUAAGUCAGAUGUGAAAUCCCGGGGCUCAACCCCGGAACUGCAUCCGAUACUGCUAUGCUAGAGCAAUGGAGAGGUAGCUGGAAUUCUUGGUGUAGCAGUGAAAUGCGUAGAGAUCAAGAGGAACACUCGUGGCGAAAGCGAGCUACUGGACAUUUGCUGAGCUGAGGCUCGAAGGCUGGUAGGCGAAAG
Molecule: ribosomal RNA, 205 nt
Filed under: uncultured bacterium
Lineage: Bacteria
Description: partial 16S ribosomal RNA
Rfam family: Bacterial small subunit ribosomal RNA
Source: RNAcentral